UAGCACAUAAAACUGUUCCAAAUGGCUCA
RNAcentral lists this non-coding RNA (29 nucleotides) under Mus musculus (house mouse). The record is from RNAcentral. Lineage: Eukaryota; Metazoa; Chordata; Mammalia; Rodentia; Muridae.